AAUAAUAAAAAUAAAAAUUCUGUCCAGUUGCACUGAAUUACUUGAAGAUUAGUGUUGUCUGUAACACUUUAUAUAAAAAACAAGCUGUUGAGAGUUUUUUAUCGCUUGCUCAUUUAUUAGUGGCAUCUUUGAUUUUCUUCCAUUGUAAACUUGUAGGUAUUCCGCAUCAUCGCAGAUCCAAAGUUUUGGAUAAAUCCAAAUUUGGCCGGUCGGCUAAGUUGAGGAGCUCGACUUGGUGGAUCCGAUUUUUUCUUCAGAUGAGCUUAGAGGAGAACGAAGCUGCAGUCAAAAAGUUUGAGCAAGCUGCAGAAAAAGGAUCAUACAGCCCAAGCUGCCAAAUUUUUCAUCUCAAACCAUACAAUUGAUGGAUGCUUGGGCAGAGAUUUUCAGUAGAGUUGGAGUAACCGGUGCAUCUAUGACUGCUAAGAUACGCAUCUUCAGUUAAUGAUGCAGGCGAAUGAUCCUCCCAAGGAGAUUCUUAGCAAAAUGGUCUAUAAAGAAAUGUCUCUACUAUAAAGAAAUGUUUCUAUCACAAUAUGUUCAUAUUCUUUUAUUCAAAUUUGUGGAGAGUCGGAGCAUCAAACAAUAAUGGGGUCUACUUUUAUGUAAGAUACAUUGGAUUUUGGCAGCUCACACACUGGAAAUGCUGUCAAUUUAAGCAAGUUGGAUAAAUAUGUUUUGAUUUGAAGCUUAACUUCAUGUACACACCUUUCCUCCAAAUGUUUUUGGGCGAUUUAAGAAGCAUGGUCGAACUGAAGUCAACAUAACUCUAGAAAUAUGUUUACUGCUCU
Olea europaea var. sylvestris is the source of this 791-nucleotide long non-coding RNA. RefSeq lists it as uncharacterized. The record is from RefSeq and is a predicted model, not a curated record. Lineage: Eukaryota; Viridiplantae; Streptophyta; Magnoliopsida; Lamiales; Oleaceae. The transcript is spliced from 2 exons.